RNAcentral lists this ribosomal RNA (477 nucleotides) under Cryptosporidium canis. RNAcentral describes it as "SSU rRNA". It matches the Rfam family "Eukaryotic small subunit ribosomal RNA", at positions 564 to 1071 of the family's 1831-position model. The record is from RNAcentral. Lineage: Eukaryota; Apicomplexa; Conoidasida; Eucoccidiorida; Cryptosporidiidae.
GUGCCAGCAGCCGCGGUAAUUCCAGCUCCAAUAGCGUAUAUUAAAGUUGUUGCAGUUAAAAAGCUCGUAGUUGGAUUUCUGUUAAUAAUUUAUAUAUAAUAUUUAACAUAUUUAUAUAAUAUUAACAUAAUUCAUAUUACUAUUUUGAUAGUAUAUGAAACUUUACUUUGAGAAAAUUAGAGUGCUUAAAGCAGGCUUUAGCCUUGAAUACUAGAGCAUGGAAUAAUAUUAAAGAUUUUUAUCUUCCUUAUUGGUUCUAAGAUAGAAAUAAUGAUUAAUAGGGACAGUUGGGGGCAUUUGUAUUUAACAGUUAGAGGUGAAAUUCUUAGAUUUGUUAAAGACAAACUAAUGCGAAAGCAUUUGCCAAGGAUGUUUUCAUUAAUCAAGAACGAAAGUUAGGGGAUCGAAGACGAUCAGAUACCGUCGUAGUCUUAACCAUAAACUAUGCCAACUAGAGAUUGGAGGUUGUUCCUUACU